RNAcentral lists this ribosomal RNA (492 nucleotides) under uncultured bacterium. RNAcentral describes it as "partial 16S ribosomal RNA". It matches the Rfam family "Bacterial small subunit ribosomal RNA", at positions 29 to 507 of the family's 1533-position model. The record is from RNAcentral.
AGUGAACGCUGGCGGUAGGCCUAACACAUGCAAGUCGAACGGCAGCACAGUAAGAGCUUGCUCUUACGGGUGGCGAGUGGCGGACGGGUGAGGAAUACAUCGGAAUCUACUUUUUCGGGGGGGAUAACGUAGGGAAACUUACGCUAAUACCGCAUACGACCUACGGGUGAAAGCAGGGGAGCUUCGGACCUUGCGCGACUGAAUGAGCCGAUGUCGGAUUAGCUAGUUGGCGGGGUAAAGGCCCACCAAGGCGACGAUCCGUAGCUGGUCUGAGAGGAUGAUCAGCCACACUGGAACUGAGACACGGUCCAGACUCCUACGGGAGGCAGCAGUGGGGAAUCUUGGACAAUGGGCGCAAGCCUGAUCCAGCCAUACCGCGUGGGUGAAGAAGGCCUUCGGGUUGUAAAGCCCUUUUGUUGGGAAAGAAAAGCAGCAGGUUAAUACCCCGCUGUUCUGACGGUACCCAAAGAAUAAGCACCGGCUAACUUCGUG